AAACCGACACAGGUGGGUGAGGAGAGUAUCCUAAGGCCAGCGAGAGAACUGUUGUUAAGGAACUCGGCAAAAUGACCCCGUAACUUAGGGAUAAGGGGUGCCACCAUCAGGUGGCCGCAGAGAAUAGGCCCAAGCGACUGUUUACCAAAAACAUAGGUUUCUGCUAAGUCGCAAGACGAUGUAUAGGAGCUGACGCCUGCCCGGUGCUGGAAGGUUAAGGGGAUCUGUUAGAGCAAUCGAAGCAGUGAACUUAAGCCCCAGUAAACGGCGGCCGUAACUAUAACGGUCCUAAGGUAGCGAAAUUCCUUGUCGGGUAAGUUCCGACCCGCACGAAAGGCGUAACGAUUUGGGCACUGUCUCAACAACAGACUCGGUGAAAUUGUAAUUCCGGUGAAGAUGCCGGAUACCUGCGACAGGACGGAAAGACCCCAUGGAGCUUUACUGUAGCUUGACAUUGGGUCUUGGUACUACAUGUACAGGAUAGGUGGGAGGCUUUGAAACCAGGACGCCAGUUUUGGCGGAGCCAUCCUUGGGAUACCACCCUUGUAGUACUGGGACUCUAACCAUAGACCAUGAAUCUGGUCUUGGGACACUGUCAGGUGGGCAGUUUGACUGGGGCGGUCGCCUCCCAAAAGGUAACGGAGGCGCUCAAAGGUUCUCUCAGUACGGUCGG
RNAcentral lists this ribosomal RNA (673 nucleotides) under Clostridioides difficile. Its description in RNAcentral is "bacterial LSU rRNA". It matches the Rfam family "Bacterial large subunit ribosomal RNA", at positions 1651 to 2334 of the family's 2925-position model. The record is from RNAcentral. Lineage: Bacteria; Bacillati; Bacillota; Clostridia; Peptostreptococcales; Peptostreptococcaceae.